UCCUUGAAAGCCCUGAGGCCCAGGCCGCUGUCCUGCUCUCCUCUCCACUGACUCCCAUCCUCGAUAUACUUUCCAUGAGAGAAAGAAUGCAUUUUUCAUACAACAACUAUCACCUCUUGAAGAAUACCUGGAAUAGGUUUUCCUAUACCUACACCUAUAUGUCAGAAUGUGAAGUUGAUGGCUGGAGUCGGAGCAGCCAUAUUGGAUGAUUUGAUUGAAAAUGGCCCAUGGAGUACCACCUGGGAACAUAUCCUCGAGAAAGACAGUUGAGGCUUAUUGCCUAAACCACAGGCUACUGAAAACUUGGCCAAAGGCGACUACUCUAGACUGGUGACUUCAAAAGUGCUGAUGAAUACAGUGAACCAUGAAAGAUG
Long non-coding RNA from Pan troglodytes (chimpanzee), 374 nucleotides. RefSeq lists it as uncharacterized. Lineage: Eukaryota; Metazoa; Chordata; Mammalia; Primates; Hominidae. The record is from RefSeq and is a predicted model, not a curated record. The transcript is spliced from 4 exons.